UUUGAUACAAUAAAACUCUCUUAGAUACAAAAUAAGAACAAGAAGAAGAAUAACACAAGAAAGGCUCAAACAAGUUCUUGGAACUUUGUCCAAAGACUCUAUUUCCUCCCACCUCUAGAAAUCUUUUGGGAACUAAAUGGAAAUAGUCUUGGGAUUGAUCAAGCCUUUUCACUUUUCUGCAUGAGAUUUCAAAAAGAAGAAAAGUCAUAUAUAUAGCACUCUUAGGGUUGAAAAAAGGUUACAAGGAUGAGAAAAAACUCAUUGUCUUCCUCAAUCUCUUCAUCUUUGUAACAUUCAAAAUUAAAUCAUAUGUUUAAUUCACACAUUAAACAUGAUUUAAUCUCAAAUGUGUAACUCUCUUACACUUAACCUCUUAGGUUUAUAAAGUUACAAAGAUGAGAAGACUCAUUGUCUUCCUCAACCUCUUCAUCUUUGUAACAUUCAAAAUUAAAUCAUAUGUUUAAUUCACACAUUAAACAUGAUUUAAUCUCAAAUGUGUAACUCUCUUACACUUAACCUCUUAAGUUUAUAAAGUUACAAAGAUGAGAAGACUCAUUGUCUUCCUCAACCUUUUCAAGUUUUGUAACAUUUCAAAACUUAAUCAUGUGUUUAAUUCACACAUUAAAAGUGUAACCCUUCUUACACUUUAUUUUCCAAAAGUUAUUUUCAAAAGUGUAACUCUUCUUAUACUUUAUUUUUUAACCAACAAUAUAUAUAUAUAUUUAUAUAGAUAUAACA
Molecule: long non-coding RNA, 738 nt
Filed under: Vitis vinifera (wine grape)
Lineage: Eukaryota; Viridiplantae; Streptophyta; Magnoliopsida; Vitales; Vitaceae
Description: long non-coding RNA (VVIN_LNC003446)
Source: RNAcentral